RNAcentral lists this long non-coding RNA (246 nucleotides) under Ananas comosus (pineapple). RNAcentral's name for it is "long non-coding RNA (ACOM_LNC009415)". The record is from RNAcentral. Lineage: Eukaryota; Viridiplantae; Streptophyta; Magnoliopsida; Poales; Bromeliaceae.
UAUACAUGUUCAGUUUCAGCAGCUCUAUACUUCUAGUUGUAGCUAUCGCUUCGUAUACACGAAAAUUUUUAUGUAUACAGCGGGUCUAUUGGCGUAUCCGGAAAAACGUAGUAAUCCGGAACGUGACAAUGUAGGAGGGCAUAAUGCAAUUUUUUAAGACACAGAGGAACAGAGUAAAAAUAUAGUAUACUACAGGGUGGUAUUUGAACUUUUUUCUUUAUUUUAUGUGCAUUUAGAUUUUGAGUG